This 468-nucleotide ribosomal RNA is filed under the name uncultured bacterium. Its description in RNAcentral is "partial 16S ribosomal RNA". It matches the Rfam family "Bacterial small subunit ribosomal RNA", at positions 28 to 507 of the family's 1533-position model. The record is from RNAcentral.
GACGAACGCUGGCGGCGUGCUUAACACAUGCAAGUCGAACGGAAAGGCCCUGCUUUUGUGGGGUGCUCGAGUGGCGAACGGGUGAGUAACACGUGAGUAACCUGCCCUUGACUUUGGGAUAACUUCAGGAAACUGGGGCUAAUACCGGAUAGGAGCUCCUGCUGCAUGGUGGGGGUUGGAAAGUUUCGGCGGUUGGGGAUGGACUCGCGGCUUAUCAGCUUGUUGGUGGGGUAGUGGCUUACCAAGGCUUUGACGGGUAGCCGGCCUGAGAGGGUGACCGGCCACAUUGGGACUGAGAUACGGCCCAGACUCCUACGGGAGGCAGCAGUGGGGAAUAUUGCACAAUGGGCGGAAGCCUGAUGCAGCAACGCCGCGUGCGGGAUGACGGCCUUCGGGUUAUAAACCGCUUUCGCCUGUGACGAAGAGUGAGUGACGGUAAUGGGUAAAGAAGCACCGGCUAACUACGUG